This 497-nucleotide ribosomal RNA is filed under the name uncultured bacterium. RNAcentral's name for it is "partial 16S ribosomal RNA". It matches the Rfam family "Bacterial small subunit ribosomal RNA", at positions 28 to 507 of the family's 1533-position model. The record is from RNAcentral.
GAUGAACGCUGGCGGCGUGCCUAAUACAUGCAAGUCGAGCGAACGGACGAGAAGCUUGCUGCUCUGAUGUUAGCGGAGGACGGGUGAGUAACACGUGGAUAACGUACCUAUAAGACGGGGAUAACUUCGGGAAACCGGAGCUAAUUGCGGAGAAGAUUUUGAACCGCAUGGUUCAAAAGUGAAAGACGGUGUUGCUGUAACUUAUAGAUGGAUACGGGCUGCAUUAGAUAGUUGGUAAGGUAACGGCUUACCAAGGCAACGAUGCAUAGCCGAACUGAGAGGGUGAUCGCCCACACUGGAACGUGAACGCCGUCCUUACUCCUACGGGAGGCAGCAGUAUGGAAUCUUCCGCAAUGGGCGAAAGCCUGACGCAGCAACGCCGCGUGAGUGAUGAAGAUCUUCGGAUCGUAAAACUCUGUUAUUAGGGAAGAACAUAUUUGUCAGGAACUGUGCACAGCUUGACGGUACCUAAUCAGAAAGCCACGGCUAACUACGUG